CUUCACUGAGCCGAGCCAGAGCGGUCCCGCCGUCCGUUCGCUGCCAUAGGUCGCUAGCAGGGCUUCGGCCUC
Molecule: non-coding RNA, 72 nt
Filed under: Streptomyces oceani
Lineage: Bacteria; Bacillati; Actinomycetota; Actinomycetes; Kitasatosporales; Streptomycetaceae
Source: RNAcentral